This 567-nucleotide ribosomal RNA is filed under the name uncultured bacterium. Its description in RNAcentral is "partial 16S ribosomal RNA". It matches the Rfam family "Bacterial small subunit ribosomal RNA", at positions 355 to 914 of the family's 1533-position model. The record is from RNAcentral.
UGGGGAAUUUUGGACAAUGGGCGAAAGCCUGAUCCAGCAAUGCCGCGUGUGUGAAGAAGGCCUUCGGGUUGUAAAGCACUUUUGUCCGGAAAGAAAUCCUUGGCUCUAAUACAGUCGGGGGAUGACGGUACCGGAAGAAUAAGCACCGGCUAACUACGUGCCAGCAGCCGCGGUAAUACGUAGGGUGCAAGCGUUAAUCGGAAUUACUGGGCGUAAAGCGUGCGCAGGCGGUUUGCUAAGACCGAUGUGAAAUCCCCGGGCUCAACCUGGGAACUGCAUUGGUGACUGGCAGGCUAGAGUAUGGCAGAGGGGGGUAGAAUUCCACGUGUAGCAGUGAAAUGCGUAGAGAUGUGGAGGAAUACCGAUGGCGAAGGCAGCCCCCUGGGCCAAUACUGACGCUCAUGCACGAAAGCGUGGGGAGCAAACAGGAUUAGAUACCCUGGUAGUCCAGCGCCCUAAACGAUGUCAACUAGUUGUUGGGGAUUCAUUUCCUUAGUAACGUAGCUAACGCGUGAAGUUGACCGCCUGGGGAGUACGGUCGCAAGAUUAAAACUCAAAGGAAUUGAC